Molecule: long non-coding RNA, 212 nt
Filed under: Capsicum annuum
Lineage: Eukaryota; Viridiplantae; Streptophyta; Magnoliopsida; Solanales; Solanaceae
Description: long non-coding RNA (CANN_LNC009474)
Source: RNAcentral
UCCACUCUUAAGGAAAGCUAUUAAUAUACAUUAAGAGGGAGAUAUGAUAGUGCACCAUAUAAGGAAACAAUAACGAAGAGGUGGAUAUGCAGAAUAGGAAUAUGGAAUAAUCCUGAUACACCCCCUCAAGAUGGUGGUCUAUUGAAGAUGCCAAUAUUGGAGAAAAACCGUUCAAAGUCAUGACGGGAGAGUGGCUUCGUUAGUAAGUCGGC